RNAcentral lists this long non-coding RNA (1167 nucleotides) under Pan troglodytes (chimpanzee). RNAcentral describes it as "long non-coding RNA NONPTRT008370". Lineage: Eukaryota; Metazoa; Chordata; Mammalia; Primates; Hominidae. The record is from RNAcentral.
UCGAAGGUGUGAGGUAGAUCUGAAGGCUUUCCCACAUUCCUUACAUUCAUAGGGUUUCUCUCCAGUAUGAGUCCUACCAUGCACUCGAAGGUGUGAGGUAGAUCUGAAGGCUUUCCCACAUUCCUUACAUUCAUAGGGUUUCUCUCCAGUGUGAGUCCCACCGUGCACUCGAAGCUGUGAGGCAGAUCUGAAGGCUUUCCCACACUGCUUACACUCAUAGGGUUUCUCUCCAGUGUGAAUCCUUUCAUGAUAUCGAAAGGAACUGGAAAGAUUGAAGGCUUUACCACAUUGCUUGCAUUUAUAGCGUUUCUCUCCAGUGUGAGUUUUUUCAUGUGUUUGAAAUGACUUGGCAGAAUAAAAGCCUUUCCCACAUAUCUUACAUUUAUAAGGUCUUUCUCCAGAGUUCAUUCUUAUGUGUGUUUGAAAACUUGUAAGAUAGGAUAAGCCUUCCCCAUAUUGCUUACAUUCAUACGGUUUUUUCCCAGAGUGGGUCCUUUCAUGUCUACGAAGAGAACUGGUAUAUGCAAAUGCUUUUCCACAUUCUUUGCAUUGAUAAGGCUUCUCUCCCAUGUGACUUCUUUCAUGUCUGUGAUAGGAACUAGAACUAUGAAAUGCUUUAUCACAUUUGCUACAUUCAUAGGGCUUCUCCCCAGUGUGAGUUCUUUCAUGUAUUUGAAGGGUAGCAGAAUAAGUAAAGGAUUUACCACAUUGUUUACAUUCAUAUGGUUUCUCUCCAGUGUGAGUUCUUUCAUGGAUAAGAUAUAAACUGAAAGAAUGGAAGGCUUUCCCACAAAAUUUACAUUUAUAAGUUCCAUCCCCACUGUGCAUUACCAUGUGUCUUCGAACGCUUGAAUGGAAAAUAAAGGUUUUUCCACAGACUUUACAAGCAUAGGGUUUCUCUCCAGUGUGAUCCCUUUCUUGUGUUCUAAUGGAGGGGCGAUACCUGAAGGCUUUCUUAUUUUUAGGUUGUUGACACUUAUAUGGCUUUGGUCCAUAUUCCUGAUACUCACAUGCCUUGUGUCCAGUGUCACCUCUGAUGUUCAUAUUAAAAGACGAGUUACCUAUGCCAACUUCUGCACACACAAAGCUGUCACAUGAUUUUACUUCAGGAGAAGCUUUCUUCUCCUGGAAGUUCAGUCUGUCAUCUAGAACCUGGGUAAAAGUUUC